This 763-nucleotide ribosomal RNA is filed under the name Drosera auriculata. RNAcentral's name for it is "eukaryotic LSU rRNA". The stretch from base 320 to 477 matches the Rfam family "5.8S ribosomal RNA". The record is from RNAcentral. Lineage: Eukaryota; Viridiplantae; Streptophyta; Magnoliopsida; Caryophyllales; Droseraceae.
GAACCUGCGGAAGGAUCAUUGUCGAAACCAAACGGAAAGACCCGCGAACGUAUAAACGAAAACGUCGGAGGCGGGGAGAGCGAGCUUCGCUCCCUCCCUCCCGUCCUUUGUCGGCACGGCCGUCCCCGUCGUUCGGAGGGACGCUGCAGCGUCCCGAAUCGGUUUUUUACUGGGCCGAUCGACGGGUUCCGGUCGUGCCGGACGAACAAACACACGGGCGCAGGUCGCGCCAAGGAAAACGAAAGCAAAUAGGCUCGCCCUCCCCGGAUGCGCUCGCUUCGGCGGCGGGGGGACGGCGACGUCGUCAUCGGCAUAUGAUGACUCUCGGCAACGGAUAUCUCGGCUCUCGCAUCGAUGAAGAACGUAGCGAAAUGCGAUACUUGGUGUGAAUUGCAGAAUCCCGUGAACCAUCGAGUCUUUGAACGCAAGUUGCGCCCGAUGCCACUUUAGGCCGAGGGCACGUCUGUUUGGGCGUCGCACAUUGCAUCACCUGUCAAAGAUCCCCCUCGGGGGGGAUGCGCAGGUGGAGUGUGGCCUCCCGCGACUCGAGUCGCGGUUGGUCGAAAUCGGAAGGCGGGACGGCGGAUGCCGUGACAGUGGGUGAUUGGCGAGGCCCCCGACGGCAUACGGUUGCGACAACUGGUCACGGUUCCCCCGUCCGGCCUUGUCUAUUCGGACCCCGAGGUGCCGCAGGAAGCGGCAGCAUGCGGUGACCCCAGAUCAGGCGGGACUACCCGCUGAGUUUAAGCAUAUCAAUAAGCGG